CUCAAGUUUUCCUCUUCAAUUUCAGCGAAGGAAGGAUGGCGGAUUAAAAGCAGAAGCCGUGGAGGAAAGCGGGAAAUCCUCUGGAUCGUGGAGGGUAGUCCCUCUGAAAAUGUUUGCAAAAGCAAAAGCAUAUGUAAUUCAAGACUACCCAUGAACAAGAAAAAGGGAACCCAAGAAUUUAAGCUAUACGGAAAAGAAAAUCAUUUGCAAAUAUUAAUUCCCGUGAACCACCCAAAAAAUAAUUGUAGUUUGGGUUUCCAAACUGUUUAAACCUGAAUGGCUGACUGGAGGAUUGUUGGCAUGAUAUUCACACCUUUUUUCUUCAACCAGAAACAAAAAUGACAAGAUGAAAUCCUGAACCAAGGUAGCCCUUGACUUACAACCAUAGUUGAGCCUGGACUUACACUGGAAACCUGCAAAAAAAUGUCCUAAAUUGUGGUUACAUGUCUGUGGGAAGCUGGAAACAUCUGAAAUGGUGAGCUGGCUGUCAAGCACCCAAAAUGUGACCACAUGACUCUGUAUGUGUAUGUGUUGAUUUUGAAAAUGGGUAGUAAAUAGCUUUUUUUGGAGGGGGGAAAACAUCAUAAAUUUAGGGCUACCUACAGUGAAAGAUGCCCAAU
Molecule: long non-coding RNA, 620 nt
Organism: Crotalus tigris (Tiger rattlesnake)
Lineage: Eukaryota; Metazoa; Chordata; Lepidosauria; Squamata; Viperidae
Exons: 3
Source: RefSeq, a predicted model, not a curated record